AACGAACGCUGGCGGCAUGCCUAACACAUGCAAGUCGAACGAGACCUUCGGGUCUAGUGGCGCACGGGUGCGUAACGCGUGGGAACCUGCCCUUAGGUUCGGCAUAACUCCCCGAAAGGGGUGCUAAUACCGGAUAAUGUCUUCGGACCAAAGAUUUAUCGCCUUUGGAUGGGCCCGCGUUGGAUUAGCUAGUUGGUAGGGUAAAAGCCUACCAAGGCGACGAUCCAUAGCUGGUCUGAGAGGAUGAUCAGCGACACUGGGACUGAGACACGGCCCAGACUCCUACGGGAGGCAGCAGUGGGGAAUAUUGGACAAUGGGCGAAAGCCUGAUCCAGCAAUGCCGCGUGAGUGAUGAAGGCCUUAGGGUUGUAAAGCGCUUUUACCCGGGAUGAUAAUGACAGUACCGGGAGAAUAAGCUCCGGCUAACUCCGUG
RNAcentral lists this ribosomal RNA (433 nucleotides) under uncultured bacterium. Its description in RNAcentral is "partial 16S ribosomal RNA". It matches the Rfam family "Bacterial small subunit ribosomal RNA", at positions 29 to 507 of the family's 1533-position model. The record is from RNAcentral.